This 447-nucleotide ribosomal RNA is filed under the name uncultured bacterium. RNAcentral describes it as "bacterial SSU rRNA". It matches the Rfam family "Bacterial small subunit ribosomal RNA", at positions 355 to 825 of the family's 1533-position model. The record is from RNAcentral.
UCGGGAAUUUUGGGCAAUGGGCGAAAGCCUGACCCAGCAACGCCGCGUGAAGGAUGAAGUAUUUCGGUAUGUAAACUUCGAAAGAAUAGGAAGAAUAAAUGACGGUACUAUUUAUAAGGUCCGGCUAACUACGUGCCAGCAGCCGCGGUAAUACGUAGGGACCAAGCGUUGUUCGGAUUUACUGGGCGUAAAGGGCGCGUAGGCGGCAAUUCAAGUCAUCUGUGAAAUCUCCGGGCUUAACUCGGAACGGUCAGAUGAUACUGUCGCGCUAGAGUGCAGAAGGGGCAAUCGGAAUUCUUGGUGUAGCGGUGAAAUGCGUAGAUAUCAAGAGGAACACCUGAGGUGAAGACGGGUUGCUGGGCUGACACUGACGCUGAGGCGCGAAAGCCAGGGGAGCAAACGGGAUUAGAUACCCCCGUAGUCCCUGAGCGGGCUGGCAAGGCGCAU